This 73-nucleotide transfer RNA is filed under the name Planctomycetota bacterium. RNAcentral's name for it is "tRNA-Lys". It matches the Rfam family "tRNA". From Rfam's summary of the family: Transfer RNA (tRNA) molecules are approximately 80 nucleotides in length. Their secondary structure includes four short double-helical elements and three loops (D, anti-codon, and T loops). The record is from RNAcentral. Lineage: Bacteria; Pseudomonadati; Planctomycetota.
GCCCGGCUAGCUCAACUGGCAGAGCAGCUGACUCUUAAUCAGCGGGUUCGGGGUUCGAGUCCCUGGUCGGGCA